Molecule: ribosomal RNA, 253 nt
Filed under: uncultured bacterium
Lineage: Bacteria
Description: partial 16S ribosomal RNA
Rfam family: Bacterial small subunit ribosomal RNA
Source: RNAcentral
AACGUAGGUGGCGAGCGUUAUCCGGAUUCAUUGGGCGUAAAGCGCUUGUAGGUGGCCUUGUAAGUUGGACGUGAAAUCUCCCGGCUUAACCGGGAGAGGUCGUUCAAUACUGCAGGGCUGGAGGAUGUCAGAGGGCAGCGGAAUUCCUGGUGUAGCAGUGAAAUGCGUAGAUAUCAGGAGGAACACCCGUGGCGAAGGCGGUUGCCUGGGGCAUCACUGACACUGAGAAGCGAAAGCUAGGGGAGCGAACGGG